RNAcentral lists this ribosomal RNA (253 nucleotides) under uncultured bacterium. RNAcentral describes it as "partial 16S ribosomal RNA". It matches the Rfam family "Bacterial small subunit ribosomal RNA", at positions 524 to 776 of the family's 1533-position model. The record is from RNAcentral.
UACGGAGGGUGCGAGCGUUGUUCGGAAUUAUUGGGCGUAAAGCGCGUGUAGGCGGCCGGAUAUGUCAGAUGUGAAAGUCCCGGGCUCAACCUGGGAAGUGCAUUUGAAACUGUUCGGCUAGAGUAAGGGAGAGGAAAGUGGAAUUCCUGGUGUAGAGGUGAAAUUCGCAGAUAUCAGGAGGAACACCUGUGGCGAAGGCGGCUUUCUGGCCCUAUACUGACGCUGAGACGCGAAAGCGUGGGGAGCAAACAGG